AUGUCAAGAGAUUGGAGGCAGCACUUCUAUGCAAUUUCUCAAGUCUCAACACAUCUUUUCAUGGCAUAUUUUGCUUCACAAGAGGAUAUGUUGUUCGUGUUUACUCGUCAGCCAUGGAUGUUGGGAUCGGACAACUUGCUACUUGAAUGGAAUCCUCAAGAUGAAAGUAACACCAAGGAAGAUUACAAGUUUGAGUACAUCUAUGUCACUAUUAGAGCCUAUGACAUACUUUGCACAGCGGGAAUUCCUUCAGAGUUUCAUCCACUUCAGAAUAACAUGUUGUUUGCGAGACCAGAUUAUAUAUGGGGUACAUCAAAGCUUAAGGUAACACAGUCAGUGGUUGAUAAGAUUAGUCUCACUUUGCCAGAUAAAUCAACCACUAUGGUUUACUUGCAUUAUGAAAAAAUUGGGAGGAUAUGCCUGUUUUGUGGCAGGAUGUUUCACACAAGUCAGCAUUGUGGAUUGAGGAACGAGUUGAUAAUGGAGCGAGCAAGAUGCAACGAAUCAGCUGCUGACAUUCCUUUUAGCAGAUAUGGUGAGUGGUUAUUACAUCCAGCUCAAAUUCCCCAACUCACUAUGCAGCCGAGAAGGGAUGGAACAUCAAUUCUAAGCAGGUUUCAGAGAAUGUUCAGUGAUGAUAAAGGAGAAGGAAAAAGUCUAGCCAGAGACAUCCAAAGCAGCCCUCGAUCAAGUCCAAAGCAUAGCAAUCAGACUCAAUGGGCAGAGAAAUAG
This 732-nucleotide ribosomal RNA is filed under the name Triticum aestivum (bread wheat). RNAcentral describes it as "partial small subunit ribosomal RNA". Lineage: Eukaryota; Viridiplantae; Streptophyta; Magnoliopsida; Poales; Poaceae. The record is from RNAcentral.